GCUACAAAAUCUUUCUUUUUCAUAAUUUUAAUAUUAAAUUAAAUCUCAAUCUACAUGAAAAUAUACAUUGUGAUUUAUACCAAAUAUUUUUCCUUAUCUUUUAGAUUAAUCUACAGCGUGUAAGAAAAAAACAUUAAAUAAAAAAUCGUACUUGUUAUAAAUUUACACUUGUUAUACUUUACAAGAAGAUGUAGUCUAUGCUAAUACUUUUGUACGACAUUGGAUUGAAGUACCAUAAUUCCAAUAACCGACCGACUGACAAGUACAGUGAAAAGGAAAAGUAUAAAUGUAUAAAAGAAAAAAACAUCAACGAGACAUGUAAAUGUAUCAUACAUUUGCCACGAUGUAGAAUUAUUAAAUAAAAGAAAAGAAAGAAAACAA
Molecule: long non-coding RNA, 381 nt
Filed under: Polistes fuscatus (common paper wasp)
Lineage: Eukaryota; Metazoa; Arthropoda; Insecta; Hymenoptera; Vespidae
Description: uncharacterized LOC122521258
Source: RNAcentral